RNAcentral lists this long non-coding RNA (254 nucleotides) under Lathyrus oleraceus (garden pea). RNAcentral's name for it is "Pisum sativum (pea) long non-coding RNA (PSAT_LNC031131)". Lineage: Eukaryota; Viridiplantae; Streptophyta; Magnoliopsida; Fabales; Fabaceae. The record is from RNAcentral.
AUGAAGAUGGUUUGAUAAUGUUGAUAUGAGAGGGUAUUUAUAGAUGAAUAAAUGAGUAGGUUUAGAAACUAUAAUGAAUUACUAUUGGUUGCAUGCAACGACAUAAGAGGUUAAAAACCUAGUGAAUGACAAAAGAGGAAAAAUCAAUGACACAAAGUGAAAGGGAAUCUAGCAUAGCAUGUGUGAAUGACAAAAGUAGCAUAAGGGAAUCAUAGGCGCAUGUGAAGAAAUCACAUGCAAUAGGAGGAGGAGCC